This 328-nucleotide unclassified non-coding RNA is filed under the name uncultured fungus. Its description in RNAcentral is "partial contains 5.8S ribosomal RNA, internal transcribed spacer 2, and large subunit ribosomal RNA". Lineage: Eukaryota; Fungi. The record is from RNAcentral.
AACGCACAUUGCGCUCCCUGGUAUUCCGGGGAGCAUGCCCGUUUCAGAAUCAUUUUAAUAUCUCACCAAGUUAUGGGUGGAAGCUCAUAACAAGGUGGAAUUUGGAUGUUUUGUCUCUGUACAAUCAUCUUAAAGUGAUCGUAUGUGCUUGAGUGUGCUCUGGCAGUUGGGUACCAACGUGCAACAGAUUUUAUCUUUUCGCUUUGGUAUUUAAUUGAAAUCAGGUACCUGAAGUGUAUAUUUGCUGGCUUACAGAUGUUAUGCAUAAUACAUGUAUGGCUUCUGAUAACUUGGUCUGAAAUCGGGCAAGAAAACCCGCUGAACUUAA